RNAcentral lists this unclassified non-coding RNA (201 nucleotides) under Hevea brasiliensis (rubber tree). The record is from RNAcentral. Lineage: Eukaryota; Viridiplantae; Streptophyta; Magnoliopsida; Malpighiales; Euphorbiaceae.
GACAAGAAAUUGGUGAUAUUUCCUGUCAAUAACAAUGAUGAUGUGAGCCUUGCUGAAGGUGGGUCACAUUGGAGCUUACUUGCAUAUGAGAGAAAUGCUAAUGUCUUUGUUCAUCAUGAUAGCUAUUCUGGGAUGAAUAAAAGGCAUGCUUUGCAACUUUAUAAAGCUGUUGUGGGAUUUAUAGGUGCAGCUCAUGCCAAG